CAGCCGCUGGCGUCGUUCGCGGCCGACGGUCCGUUCGCGGGCCUCACCGUGCCGAAGGAUAUUACGGUCACGCGCCAGGUGCUGGCCGAACCCGAUCCGGCGCUGGCCUCGCGAAGCUGGGCCUCGCUCGCCGACGGCACGCCGCUGGUGACCGGCGAACAUCGCGACAGGGGCUGUUCCAUAUCAGCGCCGAUAUGCGCUGGUCGGACCUGCCGUUGUCUGGCACCUUCGUCGAGAUGCUGCGGCGAAUCGUCGAUAUGUCGGGCUACACGGCCAAUCCAGGCGCGGGUGUCGCCGCCGAGGCCGGAGCAGAGACUGUUGCGCCGAUCCGCACCCUUGACGGCUUCGGCGCGUUCGGCCCGCCCCCCUCCACCGCAAAGCCGGUGCGCGCGGACUACCGCGACCGCGCCUCGCUCGAUCA
Molecule: unclassified non-coding RNA, 421 nt
Filed under: Hevea brasiliensis (rubber tree)
Lineage: Eukaryota; Viridiplantae; Streptophyta; Magnoliopsida; Malpighiales; Euphorbiaceae
Source: RNAcentral